AUACCGUAAAGGUCUAUUUGGAGAGCUAACGAAACCUUUUUUGUUUCUAGAAAGUGAAGCCUCGAAGAAUCUUCUGGGUUGGUGGAGAAAAGAAAUUCUCUCUUAAAUCAGUGGUUCUCAACGAAGUAGGGACAGACACGGCUCCAGUCAGGUUCCACCCCAGAGCACAGCCAGAGCAGAGAAGCAUGGGCAGGUUUCUGCCCGGGAGGAAGUGAGACCGGAUCAGGAUGACAGCUCAGGAAGGGGUGUCUCAGCAAACCCGCAAGAUCAGGGAUGCAGGCGGGGGAGCAGCCUAAGAGGGGUUUUGAGCUGUAACCCAGGGACAGAAGCGGAUGGCACGAUGGAGAGGUGGGACCCCUGGGCAGAAGAGGGGACCAAGAGGAACCAGAGCUGGAGGUCCUGGCCCUGGGGCUGAGGCCCUGUCAGCUACACGGAAGAGCUGGGCCCCCCACGUGGAGGCCCCCCACGCAGCCCCUCUCACCCGUGACACGCGAGUCUGACUCCCACGCUUGGAUCAGCAGGCUUGCUUGAGGCUCAAACAGCAACCAGAACCCCACGUCUCAGAUGGGCCCUCGGAGGUGGCCUGGCCCAGCCCCCGCUGGACAGACAGGAACACAGGGCCCCAGAGAGGACACCCCCGGGACUGCGGCCGGCAAGAUGGAGCAGGAGGGAGACCCCUGGGACUAUGCUGAAUUCCUGCAGCCCCGGAGAGCUCACAGGGUGUGCUCCCAUCCUCCCGACUGUGGCCGGCUGAUGUCUGGCCCAUGAACCUGGCCCAUGACGUCCUUGGUCAAGGCCUUCGGGGGCACCUUGGCAAACCCAAUCUGGAGGCUCAGAUUACACAUUUAGAGAGCAAGUCUUCACUUUUCUCAGGGUCGUCCGUCAGCAAGAUGAGGCACGGAGUGGGCGGGAGGGAGCCCAGCGCUGCGGACGUCUGGGUCUGAGUUCUGCCCACGGUCACUGGCGGGUGGCUCUUCCGCUCUGUGGGCCCCUGUCUGAGCUGGUCAAAUGGGAGCAAUGAGGGAGUCAGGAGACUAGGCAAGCACCCUGGGACUAAGAGUCCCACCUCACGUGGGACCCUUUGCUGCUGUCUGUGAGUCCCAGAGCCACGUUCCUGGGGGGACCCGGGCUUCCCGGGUGCCCCAACCUCUGAGCCAGGCCCCCAGAGCCUCAGCCCGUCUGCACAGCUCCCCGCUCCAUCCCCAGGGCCUUGGGGCGUCGGGCCCAUGACAGGCCCCCACAAGUCAUUGGUGAACAAAUGAAUGGAAGACACGGUGAAGGAAUGAAGGAACCCUCCCUCAUGAGUCCGGAAGAAGAGCGUGUAUGCUGGGUGGGACCCCAGCUCAC
RNAcentral lists this long non-coding RNA (1347 nucleotides) under Ursus maritimus (polar bear). RNAcentral describes it as "lncRNA (ENSUMAG00000023166.1)". Lineage: Eukaryota; Metazoa; Chordata; Mammalia; Carnivora; Ursidae. The record is from RNAcentral.